RNAcentral lists this long non-coding RNA (263 nucleotides) under Monodelphis domestica (gray short-tailed opossum). RNAcentral describes it as "lncRNA (ENSMODG00000048075.1)". The record is from RNAcentral. Lineage: Eukaryota; Metazoa; Chordata; Mammalia; Didelphimorphia; Didelphidae.
UGUGUAAAGUUCUCUGUGCCAUUUAAAAAAGGAAGCUGCAGAACAAACUUUGUCUUAUAGAAAGGAGCAGAGACACAUAUCAACUGGCUACCAAGAGAUACAGAGAGUCAAUCAGAAAGUACAAAGGACGACCCAGAAAUAGAACCACUCUUCAGAGAAAGAAGUAAGUCACAAAGGAUGCGAAGAGUAUGGUAGCCAUCGACCACUCCUGUGGCAUUCCCAAUCACUCCAAGUAGCUCAUUACAGCCCCUUUAAAACUGGAG